UAUUAAACUAGAGGGUCCAAGGACCCUGUGUCGCUCACCUGAUAUUUUUAUUUACAAUUGUUGCAUGAUAAAUGCAACUGUUGUACUGUCGUUUAGUUUCAGAGAUAUAAUACUAAAAAGUGCAUUUGAAACCUAUGUUUAAUUUCAGCCAUGUGGGCAGGCAGGGUCAUCAUACACAGUGGUCCCUGGAUAUCCUAGUGGUGAUUUAAACCAAGUUUGUUUAAAUUCAACAGUUGUUUCAGGGGAGAAUUUUUGUAAAAUUUAUCUAACAAGAAAUGCAAAGUAAUGAGAAAGUUGUGAAGUAGUUUUGUUGUUGCGCAACCCCCCCCCCCCACUUUGCCCAAAAAAACAAAAAGGUAAUAAAAAAUUAUCAUAUAAGGGCAAUCUAUCCUAUUAAUGAUUUCUGCAAAAUUCAGUUGAUUGUGCAAGGGUUGUAUAGCCAGCUGAGGUCGUUAAAAACUCUCUUUCUUUUGUUGUUGCAGAUAGAUCUUGAC
This 494-nucleotide long non-coding RNA is filed under the name Mytilus galloprovincialis (Mediterranean mussel). Lineage: Eukaryota; Metazoa; Mollusca; Bivalvia; Mytilida; Mytilidae. The record is from RNAcentral.